Molecule: transfer RNA, 73 nt
Filed under: bacterium
Lineage: Bacteria
Description: tRNA-Glu
Rfam family: tRNA
About the family: Transfer RNA (tRNA) molecules are approximately 80 nucleotides in length. Their secondary structure includes four short double-helical elements and three loops (D, anti-codon, and T loops). Further hydrogen bonds mediate the characteristic L-shaped molecular structure. tRNAs have two regions of fundamental functional importance: the anti-codon, which is responsible for specific mRNA codon recognition, and the 3' end, to which the tRNAs corresponding amino acid is attached (by aminoacyl-tRNA synthetases). tRNAs cope with the degeneracy of the genetic code in two manners: having more than one tRNA (with a specific anti-codon) for a particular amino acid; and 'wobble' base-pairing, i.e. permitting non-standard base-pairing at the 3rd anti-codon position.
Source: RNAcentral
GGCCCCAUCGUCUAGUGGCCCAGGACAUCAGGUUCUCAUCCUGAAAACACCGGUUCAACUCCGGUUGGGGCUG